This 510-nucleotide ribosomal RNA is filed under the name uncultured bacterium. Its description in RNAcentral is "partial 16S ribosomal RNA". It matches the Rfam family "Bacterial small subunit ribosomal RNA", at positions 28 to 507 of the family's 1533-position model. The record is from RNAcentral.
GACGAACGCUGGCGGCGUGCUUAACACAUGCAAGUCGAACGAAGAGCGACGGAAGCUUGCUUCUAUCACUCUUAGUGGCGAACGGGUGAGUAACGCGUAAUCAACCUGCCCUUCAGAGGGGGACAACAGUUGGAAACGACUGCUAAUACCGCAUACGAUCUAACCUCGGCAUCGAGGAUAGAUGAAAGGUGGCCUCUACAUGUAAGCUAUCACUGAAGGAGGGGAUUGCGUCUGAUUAGCUAGUUGGAGGGGUAACGGCCCACCAAGGCGAUGAUCAGUAGCCGGUCUGAGAGGAUGAACGGCCACAUUGGGACUGAGACACGGCCCAGACUCCUACGGGAGGCAGCAGUGGGGAAUCUUCCGCAAUGGACGAAAGUCUGACGGAGCAACGCCGCGUGAGUGAUGACGGCCUUCGGGUUGUAAAGCUCUGUUAAUCGGGACGAAAGGCCUUCUUGCGAAUAGUGAGAAGGAUUGACGGUACCGGAAGAGAAAGCCACGGCUAACUACGUG